UCCGGUUUGACACCGGCAGUCUCGCUAGAGUCCCCGGCAUGACCCGCUGGUAACUAGCGAUAGGGGUUGCGCUCGUUAGAGGACUUAACCCGACACUUCACAGCACGAGCUGACGACAGCCAUGCAGCACCUGUGCACGUUCCACCCGAAGGUGUGGCUCUACUUUCAUAAAGUUAAUCCGUGCAUGUCAAACCCAGGUAAGGUUCUUCGCGUUGCCUCGAAUUAAGCAACAUGCUCCACCGCUUGUGUGAGCCCCCGUCAAUUCAUUUGAGUUUUAGUCUUGCGACCGUACUCCCCAGGCGGUGCACUUAAUGGUUUUCCUACGACCGAAACAGCGUGAGAGCUGCUCCGAUCCAGUGCACAUCGUUUACGGCGUGGACUAC
Molecule: unclassified non-coding RNA, 383 nt
Filed under: uncultured Phycisphaeraceae bacterium
Lineage: Bacteria; Pseudomonadati; Planctomycetota; Phycisphaerae; Phycisphaerales; Phycisphaeraceae
Description: contains 16S-23S intergenic spacer region
Source: RNAcentral